UAAAUUUUUUUUUACAGAAGAUAUUUGUUCAUCUUUCAAUCUAAUCGGAACAAAAUCAUCUCUUCAUCUCUUCAUCUUCCAACCACCGACAAUCUCGAAAGCACCACAACCGCUCUCCUCCGUACGACUGCGCCGCCAACUGUUCUCCUCCCUACUAUCGCACCGUCUAUCUCCCUCCACCCUCGUUUUCACACCGUGACUCAAAUCACUCGCUUUCCCUCUUCUCUUUUCUUCCAGUUUAGAACCCUAAACUUUUCCCUCUUCUCUCGCUUUCACUCUUUUUCUAUUCUAUUUAAAUUAGAACCCUAAAUCUCAUUUGUCCUCCAACAACAACAACGUCUCUACACCUCUGAGCAGUUUGAAUAUCAAGGAGGCGGAGCGAGGAAGAAGAUGAAGAAGGAGGCGGAGCGAGGAAGAAGAAGAUGAAGAAGGAGGCGGAGCGAUGAAGAUGAAUGACAAUAAUAGUGGGUAUCAAGGAGAGUGAUCGGCGCAUUCUGAUGGUGUGGCAAUUUUUUCAAUGUACCAGGAUUUUGGAUUUUCCAAUGAAUUUGAAUAUUUCCUUGAUCAUUUUCAGGUGCUAGAAUUGAAGAGAGGUGAAAAGGGUCAACAAAGAAACCAAUAUAUCGGUCAAAAUAAACUUGGAUGGAAAUGGGAUUUCUGAUUCUAGUUCUAGAAUUCCCUUCCUUUUAUCAUAUGCUUGAUGUACUGGUGUAGCAGCUGAAGUGCAAAUGAUAUAUAGCACUUUAUAUGUAAAAGAAUAUGAAAGAACUAGGCAUUGGUGCUGGUUAUCUGUUCCACCGAGUUAUUUUCUAGAUCAGUUAACUGACUUGACAUUGAUUCUGUCAAGCUGAUAUAUAGCUAUGCAAUCGGGGUUUUACUUCCACUUUGAUGACCAUUUCCGUGUAGUGUACUUUAUCAGUAUACCUUAUCAGUUGUUACCAUAUCAGUGUACCUGAAAUUGCACUCAUACACAAACUAGCUAACUGAAAUAAUAUAGUGUGCCUUAUCAGUAUACCACAAUAUUACAAAACAUAAAGAUAUGUCCAUAUUAGAAUAAAGAUAUGUCCAUAUUAGAAUUUUCCAUGUCUCAAAUGUUAACACAACUAGCGAGUAACCUGUGCUUCGCACGGGUGGAUUAAACUUAAAGGCAAACUUAAAUAAAAAUUUAAGAAAUAAUAUGUGAACAAUGAAAAUACAAAAGUCAAAACAAAUAUAAAAAAUCAAUCCAAUAUACCACCAAGACUUGAGAUACCUUGAUUGUCAUAUGCUUUGCUUUGGUUUGGUUUAGGUCACAAAAAUAAAAGAAAUAUAGUUAACAUCACUUUAGUCUUGAUUUACAAACAUAAAAUCCUUUUUGAAAACCUUUUAAGUUAGUAAUUAUCUCGAAUAAUAUUAGAAGGGUCACAAGCAAAUUAAGAUAUUCAACCCAAUUACCCAAAAAAGUACACUAAAAAGAAAGAGCCUAACAAAAAAAAAGACAAAUUAACUUGGUUAGAAACAAUUUUUAUUUACUUAAAAGACAAAUUAUACAAGAUGUAAUUAUAAGGAGUGAAAAUUACAAGCCUGCAUAAUAUAGCAAGGAGCACCACGUGAAAUCCUAAUACAAUGAAACUAAAGAAAGACAAAUCCCACAAAUAGGAAAAACCAAUGCAAAAGAUCAAAACAAAAACAAAGAUUUCAAUAUCCUAAUAACACCACCACAGACACGACAACAGCACCACCAGUUACUCAUCACAGUACCUAAUACCAGAAAGAUAUUCGUCUCACUCAUUAUAUUGUGCUGCUCAGAAUCACAAUUGAAAUUCCUCAUAUUUGCAGGAGUAUCAAAAGUGAAUUCCACGUGAGAUGAUGGUGGAUUCAAUCUUGCUUCCUCUUGUACCUUCUCUUGAGCAGAGACAGUUGCAAACUUUGAUGCUAGCUUUUCUCGUGUCCUCUCCAGAAAAGCUUUCUCCUUCUUCUUCUAAUCUAAAGAUUCAACAGAUGAUUGUAUCGCCUCAAGUUCAUCCAUAGUAUUACCAAGAUUCACUUUGGCUUGUUUCAACUCCAUUAAAAUCAUAACAUGUGAUGACAUAGCCGAAGAAUACACAGUAUAAUGCUGCCAUGAUUGGCAAAGGUAUCGAAGCAAAAAAUGCUCCAAAUUUUCCUGGUUCAAAGGGAAAGUAUGAAGCAUGAGAUAUCACUAAAUUUAUGUAACAAAGAGAAUAUCAAGUUACACAGAUUAUAAAAUAUGCUAAAAUUAUGAAAUGGUGUUGCGCAGAGAUUGUUAGUCUAGCAUACCAAAUACAGAGACAAAAAUCAUAAAACCAUCUGAUAUUGCCAAUAAUCCAGCAUUUUCCUUUACACAUUUACACUUAAAUUUGAACUUUGAUUCUCUUCUUUACUUAGUUGAAUUAUCACAUCCGUAUUAUUCACAGAACACGGACUCACGAGUCACGAUCACGGCACAAGGUUAAGAGAACAAGAUCCACAUGGUCACUUGUUUGGAUGUGAAUCAGACAUAAACAAAAGGUUUGACAAAAAAAUAAACAAAA
Trifolium pratense (red clover) is the source of this 2531-nucleotide long non-coding RNA. RefSeq lists it as uncharacterized. The record is from RefSeq and is a predicted model, not a curated record. The transcript is spliced from 3 exons. Lineage: Eukaryota; Viridiplantae; Streptophyta; Magnoliopsida; Fabales; Fabaceae.